Molecule: ribosomal RNA, 460 nt
Filed under: uncultured bacterium
Lineage: Bacteria
Description: SSU rRNA
Rfam family: Bacterial small subunit ribosomal RNA
Source: RNAcentral
AGAAUCAACGCUGGCGGCGUGCCUAACACAUGCAAGUCGCACGAGAAAGGGGAGCAAUCCCUGAGUAAAGUGGCGCACGGGUGAGUAACACGUGACUUAUCUACCUCCGAGUGGGGAAUAACCUAGAGAAAUCUGGGCUAAUACCGCAUAACACUUACGAGUCAAAGCAGCAAUGCGCUUGGAGAGGAGGUCGCGGCCGAUUAGCUAGUUGGCGGGGUAAUGGCCCACCAAGGCGAUGAUCGGUAUCCGGCCUGAGAGGGCGCACGGACACACUGGAACUGAAACACGGUCCAGACUCCUACGGGAGGCAGCAGUGGGGAAUUUUGCGCAAUGGGGGAAACCCUGACGCAGCAACGCCGCGUGGAGGAUGAAAUAUCUUGGUAUGUAAACUCCUUUCGAUGGGGAAGAUUAUGACGGUACCCAUAGAAGAAGCCCCGGCUAACUUCGUGCCAGCAGCCGC